Anguilla rostrata (American eel) is the source of this 613-nucleotide long non-coding RNA. RefSeq lists it as uncharacterized. The transcript is spliced from 3 exons. The record is from RefSeq and is a predicted model, not a curated record. Lineage: Eukaryota; Metazoa; Chordata; Actinopteri; Anguilliformes; Anguillidae.
UACUGGUUAUGUAGGGGUAUUGCAGUUUGGGACGGUUUGUUGAAAUGAACCAAUACUGCAAGUACAUCUCAUGAGCGAUAAAAUGCAGAUAAGCACUUCCUAAACAGGCAGGCUGCAAGCCGUCAACCUUUGGGUCCUCACAAUCCUACACCGGACGGUUAAAGUGUUGUGGAGUGGAAGGUUUGCUUGCAGAGUUAAUAAAUGGUUUGCGCCGGUCCCGUGUGUUAGGACUGUGCAGGUUGUGCAGCCACGGUUGGAGACGGCGUGGCCAUCGUUGGUUACCCAUACCGCAUACAGCCAUUGAGAGCCAUCCGCUCCAUGGUGACCCCGCCCACUGCCCCCACCCCCUGAUCUGCCAGCCUACAACCCCCCCGCUGCACAGAAAGGCCCGGGACACACAUCAUCUUCCUCCUCCUCCUCCUCACCUGGUCCUGGGUCACAUUACCCAGCUGCAUACUGCCCCUCCCAAAUCCCUGCGUCUCCCACUGUAAGCCCCAUCUGCCCCCCUGACAUCCGUACCCAGAGCCCCAAGGCAGCAUGGGACACCCCUGACCAGCACCAUGUGGGUCUCAUCGCCAUGGGGACACUCUGGAUGGACAGCUAGCGCUGCCCC